Non-coding RNA from Peromyscus maniculatus bairdii (prairie deer mouse), 7373 nucleotides. Lineage: Eukaryota; Metazoa; Chordata; Mammalia; Rodentia; Cricetidae. The record is from RefSeq and is a predicted model, not a curated record.
CUGGAGUGCUAGGAUUAAAGGUGUGUGCUAUCACUGCCUAACUAGUGGCUUUUCUGUUCUCUGACCCCAGAUAAGUUUAUUAAGGUACACGAUAUUUUGGGGAACACAAUAUCACCACAGCAAACCUCGUGAAAGUAACGAGAAGGGGAUUGUUGUAACAGCAGUUUCUUUAUAAUGUAGGAAUGACUAGGUAGUAGGGUAUGAGAGAUUGGGGAGCAUAAACGUGAAAAGGCCUAGGUUGGUAUGAAUGAAGCAUUAAUGGUGAUUCUGGUGAAAACUCAAAACUAUAGAGACAGCAUGGGAUGUUUACAGUGAGUUAAGCAGUUUUGAUCAAUGGUAGAAAAGUGAGGUUUGGGGGCUCGCACCUGUAAUCCCAGCACUACCCCGCUAAUCUAGCACUCAUUUGGGAGGCACAAUCAAGAGGCCUGACUUGUAAUACAUAUCCACACCCUAUCUUAAAAAAGAAGAGGGAGGGGGGAAGGCAGGAAGGCAGGGCAGGCUGAUGGUGAAGGGCAUUCUAAUGAUCCCCAAUUGGAGUGGGGAUCAAAGCUUUAGAAGCUGGAGCACAGGCCAUCUUGGUUCUACAGAACUGUGCCUUCGGAGUGUGUGGAAGGCAAAGCUUCUCCAUAAAGAACAAUGAAGUAUGAUGUCUGGCAGAAUAAAUAUCUAAGCAGCCGCAAAGCCUUCAGAGGGCUGGCUGCACGGCUUCUUUUGGCUGAGAGACCAGAGAAAUGAUUUAACGAUGGAAUUUAUAAUUAAAGGGGAUGCAGAGCAGAAAGAUGGGGGAGAUUUGCAGCCUGGCAUGGUAAGAGUGAAAAAGCAUGCCCAGGAGAGAAUAAUAUGGGUAUAGCCAGUAACCCUUUGCUCAAGAGAUGAUGUGGAUUCCCUUGCUGAGGGUCAUCAGGGUAAUGGGACAGGGGCCUUAACUGUCUGAGAUCUUUGAGACAAGCCAGCACCCUGAAGACAAGGUUUCCAGAAAGGUGUCUGCUGCCCAGAGCCACCUUGGAAGGCUCCUGCAUUCUGGCGCAGCAUUCCUGGGCUACUCCUGGUAUGCCUCAAGCUGGACCCAGUUAGAUCAGAAGGGCGGAAGCGGUGAGCUUUGGAAGUAGCUGUGUGUGCUGACUCAGUGUACAAGCUGCGGGACCAGUGGUCAAAGAUAUGUUGGACAGUUAUGGCUUCAUGCAGGGACUUGUCACAGGGGCAGGGUUGCAGCAGAGAGCCCCGACUCGGGCAGUGCCUAAUGCAGGCCUGGGAAUAAGGGACGCUUAAAACUGUAGAGUCAUUGGUGUCCAGCCCUAUCCUGGGAAAGCUGAAUAAGCUGAUGCCAGCAGAGGCUGAGCAGUGGGUACCUGAUGCUUUGGGGGCCAAACAGUUUAGGGCAUCUAGGAGGUGGCAGGUGGCUAUUCUGGAGUUUUAAGAUUUAAAUGUUCACUGGGCGGUAGUGGCACAUGCCUUUAAUCCCAGCACUCUGGAGGCAGCGGCAGGCGGAUCUCUGUGAGUUCAAGGCCAGCCUGGGCUAUAGAGUGAGUUCCAGGACAGGUUACAGACAGUUGCUAACUGCCAUGUGGGUGCUGAGAAUUGAACUCGGGUCGUCUGGAAGAGCAGUCAGGGCUCUUCACCACUGAUCCAUGUCUCCAGCCCCCAGUCUUCACUUUUCAUAUCCUCACACAAGGCAGCUCCCUAGCCAGUGUCACAGGAAAUGGCAUUCUUAGCUGAGAGAGAGCUCCAGAAAAGAAUCAUGACAGGUCCUCCUGAGUUCAGUCCUCAGAAGAAAAAGAGGGAGAGAAAAACAGUCAAGUUCUUAUUAAUUACCCCUAGAAAGUGAAAUGGACACUCACUCCCAAGGAUGGAGCUGUAUACCCCUUUAAACUUGGGACUGCCGCUUCUCCCGCCUGGGUAUUCUGAACUCAGAACUGUGCGUGAAACAUACAGCAGAGCUCCCCGAAGAAGGGGUGUCUACUGUAUUAAAGACCCUCAGGCUGCUUGACCUUGGCUGACUAGAACACUGUGGCUGUGGAUUGACAGACACUCAGGGCCAAAAGUACUCCGAGCCUCUUAGGAUCCUUCAUAGCCAUUUACUUUCAACCUCUGUGUCUGGCCCGACAUCCUUGUGACCAGAUUAAGCUCUCAGUGUGUCACGAACCUUCGUGGACCUCUGGCUUCCGCCAGUCUCUUAAGCUCAGGAGAUUCUAACAUCUCACCCUGUAGAAAGGACUUCCUGCCUGGCAGGGGCUUCUCUACAGCUGUCUAGUGGUCUUGUGUAUCUGUUUAUCACCUUCCUCGUUCUGUGACUGGGGCUACCCUGGAACAUGUUGUUCAGAGAAGACCGAAUCUGUGUCCUGGACCAUGGUCACUCAUCUUUGGCUAAGAAUAAUAAGCUGUUUUCUUUUCCCCUUGAAUGCAAAGUCGUUGCUUUACAACUCUUGGAACAAAUGUAGUAGAGCCAAGCACUUGCACAGUCCUUUGGAGCCUCAGACUUGCUAUGUGGUAGAGGAUUACCUUGAACUUCUGACUCUUCUGCCUGUACCUCUCAAGUGCUGGGAUUAUGGUUGUGAGUUUUUGUACUGAUGGGGAGUCGAACUAGGGCCUUGUGUUUGCUACGUAAGUACUUUAUCACCCGAGGUACACCCAGAAACCUGUGUGCUGAUUAGUCUUAUGUCAGCUUGACACCAGAUAGAGGUGUUCCAAGACAGGCUCCAAAGCUGGGAGCACCUAAUAGGUGCAGUUUCUAGAUUAUAGAUGGAUGUUGGAUGGCCCAGCUCACUGUAGGUGGUGCCAGCCCUGGUCCUGUGGUUCUGGGUGCUAUAAGAAAGCAGGUUGAGCAAGCCACAAGGAGUAAGCCAGUAAGCAGCACCCUUCCAUGGCUUCUGAAUCAGUUCCUGCCUCCAGGUUCCUGUCCUGACUUCCUUUGAUGAUAGGAUGUGAUGUAGAAGUAUAAGCCAAAUAAACCCUUUCCUCUCCAGGUUGUGUUUGGUCAUGGUGCUUUAUCAGAGCAGAAGAAAGUAACCCCCCAGCUAAGACAACGGGUGUUACUUUGACAAAUGGCUGAUAGCUCACUUGGGAGAAAACCAAAUCCAUAACAACAGCCCAUGCCAAAGGAAACGGGUACACCACAGCCGUUAGAUGGGGUGAUUUGAGGAGCAGAAAGAAAGGCAAGAAAGAGGUUAGGAGUGUCAGGCAAAUGGCAGACUGCAGGCGGGGCUGAGAGCAGGGGCAGGCUGAGCAGAAGGGCACCAGGACUCCUUCUAACUGCGGUGGGGCUCGGGAGGGCGGAGUUAAGCUGGGGAGUGACAUGACCAGGAUCAUGUUCUUAAAAACUAACUUUCAGGAAAGGUACAACCAGAACUCUUAUACAGACACAAAAGCAAAGGUGUUAAAGAUUUUAUUUGGCUUACUUGGUAGCCUCAUGGGUUCAAAGGAAAUUAUACAUUCGUAUAGAAUAAAGGAAGGUUAACGAAUGUGUGGAUUCAUUUUCCAGGGGAAGCGGGCAAAGGAGGGAGCCUUUUCCGAUGCCCAACAGUUCUCUGAGCUUGAGAAGUUAAAAACAAAACAGCGAAAGACGUUGGGAGAGUACCGCCAGGGGACUACAAAAAUGAGUGUCAUUCCACGUGACAGUGUCCGGAUGAAACACAGUGUUUUGGUUUUUUUUCUGCAGUGUUUUUUAGAAAAACAAAAGAAGCAUUUUUAAGAUUAUUUUAGAUUCACAGGAGGUUGAAAAGAUGAUAUAAAGAAAUUCCAGGUACCUUUCAUCUAUUUUUUUUUUUUGCAAGGAGUACACCUUGUGUUCCUCCAGAUACGUACUUUGCAUGAAAUCUAUGUCCUUUUGAGGUUUUUCACCUAGCUUAAUAUCCUUGAGACCGACCCGUGUGUGUUGCAAGCAUCAGUUGUUGCGGGAUGUCUUUCUGUAUGCUGUGAAUAUGUGUUAUUCCCAUUGACUAAUAAAUAAAGCUGCAUUGACCUCUGGCAGGGCAGGAUGGAACCACGUGGGAAAAUCCAAGAGAGAGCGUGUAAGGAGAAACCAGAGUAAAGGGAGACGCCAAACCACCCCACCGUCCAAGGAGCAACAUGUAAUGGGAUGCCACCGAGCAUGUGGCGAUACAUAGAUGAAUAGAAAUGGGUUAUAAGAGCUAGCUAGUAAGAAGCCUGAGCCAUAGGCCAUACAGUUUGUAAAUAAUAUAAGUCUGUGUGUUUACUUGGAACCAAGCGGCUGUGGGACUUGGGUGGGAAAGAUUGAACCCCACCAUGGGGCCAGGUGGGGACCACAGAAACACAGGACCUCAGGCUGGGUAGGACCGGAGAAACUUCCAGCUACAAUCAAUAGUUUGUUCCUUUUCACGACUGAGUAGUAGUCUGUGGUGGGGAUGUACCACAGGCUUUUGGUCAGUCCUCUUUUGAGGGAUGUUACGGCUGUUAACAAUUUGGGGCGAUGACAUGUGCGCCCGCUCUGAACAAUCAAAGGUGUGGGGUUUUUGCGUGGAGGUAAAUUUUAUUCUCCGGGGCCAGGUGGCUGAGAGUGGGCUGUGGGUGUGCUUCACUGUGUCUUCUUACCUUUUACAGGAUCUGACUGGUGGGAGAGACAGUUCGUUUCCAAACCAGCAGCUUCGGGGUGACCGUGCUUCUGCCGGAUGUAGUGACACACGCCUUUAAUCCCAGCAGAGCCGGGCGGAUCUCUGUGAAGUUGAGGCCAACCUGGUCUACGGAGCGAGUUCCAGGACAGCCAGGGCUACAUAGUAAGACCCUGUCUGUAAGACAAAAAACAUAACAAAAACCCCCACAUAUAUAAUCGGCUUCCAUUCUCCCCUCCACUGUCUUCCCCCCAUCUCCAGGGUGAAAUGCAGAGUUGCAGUUGCUGACGGAAGGUCCUCAUGAUCUGCGGCCGCCACCCCUGGUCUCUUGAGGUCAUUCCUUCUCCCUCUCUGUUCCUGUCCCCACUCCAGUCUUACCGGUCUUUUUGAACAGGGUGAAGAUAUUUUACCGGAAGUUCUCUUUCCCAAGGUGUCCGCACAGCUCUUCCAUAUCUCCUGUAGACUCCGCUGUGGCUUCCCUGCUCAGUGAGGCCUUCAUCACGAGAUUCCCUGCUUACAGCUGUAACCCUGCACACACACACACACACACACACACACACACACACACACACACACACCUUCCUUUCUGGUACUGGCACUGUCUGUCAUGCUCUCAAGAGGAGAUUAUAAGAUUAUAAGCCCUUACGGGAGGUUUGCCGAGUCCACAGUGUGUGGAAUAGUGCCUUGCACACGGUAGAGGCCUAGUGAACUUGUUCACGGUGUGUAGAAUAGUACCUUGCACACGGUAGAGGCCCGGUGAACUUGCUGUGUGAGGGAAUGAGUUUAAAGGCCGUGGAAGCAGUUGGAGGAAGCGCUAGGUUGACCUGGGACCGAGUGGCAGUGGUCACUCGAGGAGGAAGAGAACACAGAAGCACACGUUCGGUUGUGUUCAGCUCUGAGCAGUGGAAAGGUGGUCUCUGUUUUGAACUUAAAUUUUCUCGCUUGCUUCGCCUGCCUCGUUGGCCCUUCCGAUUACUCAGGGAGGCUCAAUCUUCUCCUUAUUCUCUCUUCCGAAUGGAGUCUGUGGCAGUACCCUCUCCUUUCUGUAAAGAAGGGUCUGUAGAGCCUGUUUGGGAAAGUGAUAUCUUUUAAAAAGAGUGCGUAAGGGCAGUCGUUUUUAAAAGUCGAAUUACUGUUUCUUUUCACUAAUAGUAUUCUAGAUUCAUGAGAGAAGCCCAGGUCCCGGGAUCCCCUGAGAACUGGAGCCCAGGCCCCGGGUUCCCAGAGCCCAGGUCCCGGGUUCCCAGAGCCUAGGACCCAGGUUUCCCUGAGAACUGGAGCCCAGGCCCCAGGUUCCCAGAGCCUAGGGCCCGGGUUCCCGUGAGAACUGGAGACAGUCUGGUGCAGAGUAGACAUGCAUGCUCCUGAGAUGUUAUGAGCCAUCUGCCUCCAUGUUCCUUCUGCCUGUUCAGUUCUUGUGUCCAUUCAUCCUGGUGGAGCCUGCCUGCUCCUUGCUAGUCAGCAUGGCCCCAGAGGUUGUCAGCUGUGUGCAGAAUGUAUUUUUUAUCAGAUUCUGAAGUGUCGGCAUUGAUCGCCAUUGCCUAAUUGGGUCUUGAUGAUGGAUCGUUUCAUCCAUGAACACCCCCAAUAUUACAGUGUGAGUAUCACUUCCCUUGAAGCAAAGAGGGCUGGCGAACAAAGAGUUGAAGAGAUUUCUCCACACUCACAGCCAAUUUGAAGAGUUUAACCGAAAAUUCUUCUAUUUAACCAAGGUAGCCAGCGUCCCUGGUGAAGAUUUGUAAAUUUAACCUUUUAGUCUCUUAUUCGUUACUUCCCUUCAGUUCUUAAAGAAACAUCCCUCUACCCCAAGAGCAGAAAUCACCAUGAACAGAACUAUUAACUGUCUGGGAUAUUUAAGAAAAUAAACGGGAUGUUGAAGCGUAGGAAAGAAAGAAAAAAGAGAGUUUAAAAGAUAGAUAGCAGAGUGACAGAAUGUGUGUGAGCCAGUUCUCAAGUUACGAUGGCAAGAUCAGUUUCCCUUGCCUCUGCUAGCUCUCUCCCCACCUAAGGACUGUAUUGUAAUUGAAUGGCCAGGUCAUACUCAGUUGUAGUGUUUAAGCCAAGGUUUGAUCUCACAGUAACAGAGGAGCAUGGCCUUCCACGGAGAGGGUCCCGGAGUGAAGCAGUGAAAUACAUUCCUAGAUAUUGGCCGCUUUUGGUUUUAUGAUAACACAUAGAAUAUAUAAAUUAAUCCAUGCCAUUUGUCCCCCGGCCCAGAAAGCAACUGGGUUUUCCUGGCUGCUGGGGUAUUUCAUAGCUUGCUAACAAAGCUGCUGUGGAAACCAAUAGAAAUACGUUUUCGAGCCGGGCAGUGGUGGCGCAUGCCUUUAAUCCCAGCACUCGGGAGGCAGAGGCAGGCGGAUCUCUGUGAGUUCGAGGCCAGCCUGGGCUACCAAGUGAGUUCCAGGAAAGGUGCAAAGCUACACAGAAAAACCCUGUCUCGAAAAAAAAAAAAAAAAAAAAAAAAAAAAAAAAAGUUUUCAUUGCAAAAAAUUAAUUUUGUUCUAAGUAAUUUUUUUCACUAUCUAGGUUGCUAGAUGCUUCGUGUCUGCCUUCAGGGCUAGGAAAUAUGCUGUUUUGUUCUAAAUCUCUUCUCUGUCUUUGUAAAGCAGCUAGUGUUGACUUCACAAGUUGCAUGAAGGUUAUUAAAAAUGACUUACUAGGCAGUGAGAUUGCUCAGCGGGUGAAGACGCUCGGUGCUAAACCUGAUGACCGGAGUUCAGUCUCCAUGGCCCGUGGGACAGAAGAAGCGAACCGACUCCUGCAAGUUGUCCUCACACACUAAAAUAAAUAAAGAAAUAAAAAGAA